Micropterus salmoides (largemouth bass) is the source of this 490-nucleotide long non-coding RNA. RefSeq lists it as uncharacterized. The transcript is spliced from 2 exons. NCBI's taxonomy places the organism in Eukaryota, Metazoa, Chordata, Actinopteri, Centrarchiformes, Centrarchidae. The record is from RefSeq and is a predicted model, not a curated record.
UACUCAGGUACACAGCUCCUUCGCCUGUCUCAGUCGCCAUAAGUUGCCACAUAAUAUAAAAUAAUGCAGCAUAACGGUGCAGGACAACACCACAGUGGAAGACCCAUUCACAGUAAAGAUGAAUUUGAGCUGUACCCACCAGGGACAUCACACAUGCCACAAAAGUGGGAGGAGAGGUGUAAGUAUGUGGGAGUUCAAGCUGAGGUAACACAAGACAUGUUGGUAUUUUUGAUGAAAAUUGGGUGAUUGACAUAGCACUGAGAAUCAAUAUGUUUACCACUUCACUCAGUUGAUAAUUAUGUGGGAUGAUUUCAUUGACGAGCACAAAUGAAAUCUGUGAUGGGAAUGCACAGCCACUGGAGACAAGUGCUUAAUUAUGUGAACAUUCACUUUGACUAUAUAUUCUCCAAGGUAGACACAAAAAUGCUUAUUCACUGUUAUUGUAGCAAAAAUGCUCUAAAUAAGUGCAUAAUAAACUAAAGAUACAUAA